This 496-nucleotide ribosomal RNA is filed under the name uncultured bacterium. RNAcentral's name for it is "partial 16S ribosomal RNA". It matches the Rfam family "Bacterial small subunit ribosomal RNA", at positions 28 to 506 of the family's 1533-position model. The record is from RNAcentral.
GACGAACGCUGGCGGCGUGCCUAAUACAUGCAAGUUGAGCGCGGAAUGUUGGUACUGUUGCCCACGGGAUGGUCAGCGGACGGGUGAUUAACUCGGGGUGAAUCUGCCUUUGAGCAGGGGACAACAUUUGGAAACGAAUGCUAAUACCGCAUAAUAACUUUAAACACAAGUGUUAAGUUUGAAAGAUGCAAUUGCAUCACUCAAAGAUGAUCCCGCGUUGUAUUAGCUAGUUGGUGAGGUAAAGGCUCACCAAGGCGAUGAUACAUAGCCGAUCUGAGAGGGUGAUCGGCUACAUUGUGACUGAGAAAGGGCCCAAACUCCUACGGGAGGCCGCAGCAGAGACUCUUAGGCGAUGGAGGAAAGUCUGAUCGAGCAAAGCCGCGUGAGUGCAGAAGGAGUUAGGCUGCUAAAACUAUGUAGGUAGUGAAGAACGUUGGUGAGAGUGGAAAGCACAUUAAGGGAAGGUCCCUAACAAGAAAGGCAGGCCUACUUCCGU